AGAACGAACGCUGGCGGCAUGCCUAAUACAUGCAAGUCGAACGAACACUUCGGUGUUAGUGGCGCACGGGUGCGUAACGCGUGGGAAUCUGCCCUUGGGUUCGGAGUAACAGUUGGAAACGACUGCUAAUACCGGAUGAUAUCGAAAGAUCAAAGAUUUAUCGCCCAGGGAUGAGCCCGCGUAGGAUUAGCUAGUUGGUGAGGUAAAGGCUCACCAAGGCGACGAUCCUUAGCUGGUCUGAGAGGAUGAUCAGCCACACUGGGACUGAGACACGGCCCAGACUCCGUAGGGAGGCAGCAGUAAGGAAUAUGGAACAAGUGGGCGACGAAGCCUGAUCCAGCAAGUGCCGCGUGAGUGAUGAAGGUCCGUUAGGGUUAGUAAAGCUUACUUUACCGAGAUGAAUAAUGA
Molecule: ribosomal RNA, 408 nt
Filed under: uncultured soil bacterium
Lineage: Bacteria
Description: bacterial SSU rRNA
Rfam family: Bacterial small subunit ribosomal RNA
Source: RNAcentral